AUUGAACGCUGGCGGAAUGCUUUACACAUGCAAGUCGAACGGCAGCACGGACUUCGGUCUGGUGGCGAGUGGCGAACGGGUGAGUAAUGUAUCGGAACGUGCCCAGUCGUGGGGGAUAACGUAGUGAAAAUUACGCUAAUACCGCAUACGAUCUAUGGAUAAAGCGGGGGAUCGCAAGACCUCGCGCGAUUGGAGCGGCCGAUAUCAGAUUAGGUAGUUGGUGGGGUAAAGGCACACCAAGCCAACGAUCUGUAGCUGGUCUGAGAGGACGACCAGCCACACUGGAACUGAGACACGGUCCAGACUCCUACGGGAGGCAGCAGUGGGGAAUUUUGGACAAUGGGCGAAAGCCUGAUCCAGCCAUUCCGCGUGCAGGAUGAAGGCCCUCGGGUUGUAAACUGCUUUUGUACAGAACGAAAAGGUUUCUACUAAUACUAGGAGCUCAUGACGGUACUGUAAGAAUAAGCACCGGCUAACUACGUGCCAGCAGCCGCAGUAA
This 499-nucleotide ribosomal RNA is filed under the name uncultured bacterium. RNAcentral's name for it is "partial 16S ribosomal RNA". It matches the Rfam family "Bacterial small subunit ribosomal RNA", at positions 30 to 523 of the family's 1533-position model. The record is from RNAcentral.